Molecule: non-coding RNA, 2443 nt
Organism: Phoenix dactylifera (date palm)
Lineage: Eukaryota; Viridiplantae; Streptophyta; Magnoliopsida; Arecales; Arecaceae
Source: RefSeq, a predicted model, not a curated record
AGAAAAAGAAAGAAAAGAAGGAAAGAAAGAAAGGUAGAAGAAAAAGAAAGAAAAGAAGGAAAGAAAAAGGGGAGAAAGACGAUCUUGAAGCAAUGCGGGUUUAGGUCAUCUACCUCUUCUUGGCUUCUUAUUUUUCAUUUUAUUUUCAUAUUAUUUCCAUUGUGGUUUCCAGUUUGCUUUGAGGAAUAUACUGCAGUUUUGGUAUCUUCAACAAAUAUAAAAGAAAUUUUUUAACCAAGUAGGGUUAUAUCAGUCAGAAGGAGCUCUGUAAACCCAACAAGUGGAGCAUACGGAGAUAGAGAAAUAAAUGGAAGGAAAUUUUUUGGUGGAAAUGUGCCCUUAUCUCUCUCUUACUAAAUUUGAAAGUAGUGGAUUUGGUGUUAACUGACAGUUUUUCAAUCUGAACUCAUCAUAAUACCUCACCUUUUUGUUGCCUCUUGUUUUUUAAUCUUUCAUGUCUUGAUGAGGUGAGGUCUGCAACGAGAGGAAGCAACAAACAAGAAUCAUCAAUGGCUCUAGCCUUCCUGAUGGGCAGAUCUGUGGUGAUGUAUCUGUAUCAGUUAUGUUUGCUGGUGAUUUUCAUGAAGAAAAUGCUUGUGAUCUAAAGCAUUCAGAGAGAUCCUAUGCAACACUCUUUUUAGAAAUUUCCAUGUGAACUUCUACAGCUAGAUGUGAAAUUUUGCUGGUGAUUUUGGCCCAGCCAGGAUCUUAGCCUCAGCAACUGCUGCUCCUGCUCUUUUGAUGCGCUUUGGAGGUUCUCAACCAAUGGCCACAUUCUCACAUUGAUGGGAUGUCUGGGAGCCCUUGAUUUGAUACAUAUCAGGAGCUUGCAUAUUCCAGAAUGCAAGUACCUGUGCUUGUUGUGGACCAAAUUAUGUCUGUGCAUUUUCCAGGACACUGCUGAAAAGGAAAGUGUGCAAAGCGCUUAUAAUCUUAAGUAUGAGCAAAUGAUAUCUUGUAGCCUAUUCCCCUGCCCUCCACCCUCUGUCUAAGAUUUGAUCAGAUCAGGGUUUGCAAUAUCAGUACUGGAUCCUCUAUCGGUGUCAUGUUGGUAUAGUGUUGGUGCUGGUUGGUUCAGCAUACCGACACUUGGUAUGCCCUUAUGUAUUGAGUAUCAGUUUGGUACCAUUAUGGUAUUUUAUGCACCGCUACUACAAACUUUAGAUCAGAUUAUACGUACCCACCAAGCAGUAUGUACAACUUACUAGAAUGUGGUCUGUAUGACCAAGUGUUUGUUUUUUCUUAAAUAUCUGCAACUGAAUUAUUGUAUUCAGGAUAUGACAACAGUGCAGGUGAUGUUUUAAUUGAACUUCAUGGAACAAACUAUAUUUUUAUAGUCAACCAGGCUAUGGUAGAAGAUCAUGAGUAUUCUGAAGGUCUGGAAAGAGAAAUUGUAGCAUGGAUAUGUAUUUUGUAAUUUAAGCUUCUUUGAACUCGGGAAUUAAAGUUCUAUUUUGUGUUACACCUCUUCUUCCCACCCUAGGAAUUAGAUUCUAUUUUAUUUGUGUCUUCACACCUCUUCUUCAGUUCUAUUUUGUGUCACACCUCUUCUUCCCACCCUAGGAAUUAAAUUCUAUUUUAUUUGUGUCUUCGCACCUCUUCUUCCCACCCUACGUUAGCAUACAACUAUCUUAUCUCCAGCCCUGACACUAAAUUAGCUGCAUCAAACAGUAAGGUGAAGAACUUCAGAAAAGUUCUACUGUCCCCUCUUGAUGCAAUAUACUCUCUCUUAUACUUUAAACCUUUGUUAUUAUAUUCUGCAGGCUGGAAAUUAAGCAUGUCAGGGGGAUGUUGCUUUAUGGACCUUCAGAGACUGGCAAGACCCUCAUGGCUCGUCAGAUUGGGAAAUUAUCCAAUGGAAUGGGAUUAGUGGUCUGGUCUCCGAAUUAUGCUUCUGUACAAUAUUGUAAAAAGGAAAGAUGGUGAAGGCAUAUGUUGAUGACAAUGAUGAUGGCUUGGACAGAUAGGGAAUGACUUUGACAGUGGUGUAAUGGAGGACUUUGAUAGAAACAGUGAUGAGGGAAGGGGAUCAGGAAGAUCUGAGGUGGUAGUGGUUCAAAGUUUGUAAAGAAUUGGAAGAUAUACGAGAGGUAAAAAAAUUUUCAGUAGUUUAAAUUUUGGCCAUUCUGGCAUUUUGCUUCCCAACUUGAUAUAGUUAUCUGUUGAUAAAUUUUCUCCAGGAUAGGGAGGUGUAUUGUAAUAGAUUUAUUUUAUGGGAAGCUCUGUAAAUCCAACAGUAGCAGCACCUGGGGAUGGUGGAACUAAUGGAAGGAAACUUUCAGGUGUAUUAGAUAUAAGUGAAAAUGGUAAAGUUUGAUUAAUUCGAAAAGAGCAAGGUACAAAUUAAUUUAUCAACGAUUAAUUCUGAUGGUAAUUAAGAAGGAAACAAAGCUUGUUUGCACUUAAACUUGUGAAGUUUUUAAUUCAAUCAUUAAUUGUGACA